UAUAUAAUUUUGUAUAAUUCUAUUGAAAAUGUUUACCAAAAAACUUCCGGAAUUUCUACGAAUUUUCUCAUAAUUUUUUUACGAUGUUAAUCUUCGGUCAAUUUUCAAGUUGCUGUUUCCAAGUGAAUUUCCGGCAUGUUUAUAAAUAUAGUAAAAAACUGUGGUUGCAUCGUUCAAAGUCCAGUGUCUCGAUGUAUUCGAGACGAUUCCAAUUCGAAAGUGAAACCUUACUCUGUAAUCAAUGAUGCGUCCUGUGCAGGUGAAAUUUUGAUAUUUAAUUGUAUGUUCAAUUGAAUGUCACAGAAUGUUUAUCGAUCAGAUAAUAUAUAAAUCUAUAAAUCUUGUUUGAAAUUAGGUUAUAUAUCAGAUGUUUGAGUACCCGAGAAUAUUUAAGUUCCAAAGUUUCUUUGUUCCUUACGCAAUCCAGGAAACAAGAUAUUCGCGAGUUGUGUAAGUUUUCAGUGAUAAAUACGUUAAUUUAUAAAUUAUACUUUCUCCAUGCGCGAGUAAGUAAAUUUAAAAAAAAAAGGAUUGUCAAUAAGAGAUUCGUAGAGGAGAUAUACAAAGGAAGAAUGUACACGUGCUCGUCUUCAUCACAGCAACUCAUGUGAAAGUGGCCUUGUCAAGUAAACGUAGAUCAUGACGAUGCUUUUCGCCUCUUCGCAUUCUAUGUAGUAUACGAGAGUUGAUCAAUGAUUAAAAAGUACUCCAAUAUUCAGCUUUCGAAAGAAGCACUUGAUUUGCUUGCAUCAAGAAUAAAAUUGCGGUAGAAAAAUAUAAGACUAGUCAUAUUUAUAAUUCGAUGCAUGUACUAGUUAGCACUAAUGUACUAGUUUGCGUUUAAGAAUGCGUAAUUAAAUGAAUUGACGUCACCUUUAAAUUAAAAUAAUGUGAUUAAAAUAUGAAACUUUAUCAAUGAGAAUUAUUAGUUUUAUUAUAUAUCAUAUACGGGUUUUUUUUUUUACGUUAUAUAUAAUAUAUAAUAAAAAUUGCAAAUUUUGUACCAUUAUCAUUAUUGUGACAAAUAAGCGAUAUGUAUGUUAUAUUUUUAAUGCUUAUUCAUAUUAUUCAUAUAAUUAUCGAGAUAACGAGAACGAUAAUAAAUGAACUUUGCUAGAAAAUGUAAAAUAAAAGAAACAUUAAACAUUAAACAUAUCGUUCUUAACAAAGUUCAAAUUUUUCUUAAACCACAUUGUAAAUCUUAUGAUGAAAAUAUCGGUAAAUUGCAAUUACUAUAAAAACCCAACGAUAUAAACGAUUUACUUUCUAUUGGGUAAUAUAUGUGAUCGUAUAUGUCCCCGUGUCACGCCAUACAUAAAGAAUGAAUAACUUUCGAUAGUUUGAUUUAUUAUUAAUAAAUUAUGAGCGCAAAAAUAUGAUUCAUAUAUAUAUUGUAUAUAUAUGAUUCACUAUAUAAAUUGUAUUAAAAAUA
This is a long non-coding RNA of Apis cerana (Asiatic honeybee), 1432 nucleotides long. RefSeq lists it as uncharacterized. The record is from RefSeq and is a predicted model, not a curated record. NCBI's taxonomy places the organism in Eukaryota, Metazoa, Arthropoda, Insecta, Hymenoptera, Apidae.